RNAcentral lists this ribosomal RNA (910 nucleotides) under bacterium enrichment culture clone PCP1. RNAcentral's name for it is "bacterial SSU rRNA". It matches the Rfam family "Bacterial small subunit ribosomal RNA", at positions 9 to 933 of the family's 1533-position model. The record is from RNAcentral.
GAGUUUGAUCCUGGCUCAGGACGAACGCUGGCGGCGUGCCUAACACAUGCAAGUCGAGCGGGGAGACGCCUUCGGGUGUCUUCUAGCGGCGGACGGGUGAGUAACGCGUGAGCAACCUUUCCUUCACAGGGGGAUAACGCAGCGAAAGCUGUGCUAAUACCGCAUAAGACCACGGGACCGCAUGGUUUUGAGGUCAAAGGAGCAAUCCAGUGAAGGGUGGGCUCGCGUCUGAUUAGCUAGUUGGUGAGGUAACGGCCCACCAAGGCAACGAUCAGUAGCCGACCUGAGAGGGUGAUCGGCCACACUGGGACUGAGACACGGCCCAGACUCCUACGGGAGGCAGCAGUGGGGAAUAUUGGGCAAUGGGCGAAAGCCUGACCCAGCAACGCCGCGUGAGGGAAGAAGGUUUUCGGAUCGUAAACCUCUGUCCUUAGUGAAGAGUAAAAGACGGUAGCUAAGGAGGAAGCCCCGGCUAACUACGUGCCAGCAGCCGCGGUAAUACGUAGGGGGCGAGCGUUGUCCGGAAUGAUUGGGCGUAAAGGGCGCGUAGGCGGCCUGUUAAGUCUGGAGUGAAAGUCCCGUUUUUAAGGUGGGAAUUGCUUUGGAUACUGGCGGGCUGGAGUGCAGGAGAGGUUAGUGGAAUUCCCGGUGUAGCGGUGAAAUGCGUAGAGAUCGGGAGGAACACCAGUGGCGAAGGCGACUAACUGGACUGUAACUGACGCUGAAGCGCGAAAGUGUGGGGAGCAAACAGGAUUAGAUACCCUGGUAGUCCACACGGUAAACGAUGAAUGCUNAGGUGUAGGGGUUGUCAUGACCUCUGUGCCGCCGCAAACGCAUUAAGUAUUCCGCCUGGGGAGUACGGUCGCAAGAUUAAAACUCANAGGAAUUGACGGGGGCCCGCACAAGCAGC